RNAcentral lists this ribosomal RNA (273 nucleotides) under uncultured bacterium. RNAcentral describes it as "partial 16S ribosomal RNA". It matches the Rfam family "Bacterial small subunit ribosomal RNA", at positions 524 to 796 of the family's 1533-position model. The record is from RNAcentral.
UACAGAGGUCUCAAGCGUUGUUCGGAAUCACUGGGCGUAAAGGGUGCGUAGGUGGCGUGGUAAGUCAGAUGUGAAAGCCCGGGGCUCAACCUCGGAAUUGCAUCCGAUACUGCCGUGCUGGAGUACUGAAGAGGUGACUAGAAUUCUCGGUGUAGCAGUGAAAUGCGUAGAUAUCGAGAGGAAUACCAACGGCGAAGGCAGGUCACUGGGCAGUUACUGACACUGAGGCACGAAGGCCAGGGGAGCAAACGGGAUUAGAAACCCCCGUAGUCC